Molecule: ribosomal RNA, 497 nt
Filed under: uncultured bacterium
Lineage: Bacteria
Description: partial 16S ribosomal RNA
Rfam family: Bacterial small subunit ribosomal RNA
Source: RNAcentral
GAUGAACGCUGGCGGCGUGCCUAAUACAUGCAAGUCGAGCGAACAGACGAGGAGCUUGCUCCUCUGACGUUGGCGGCGGACGGGUGAGUAACACGUGGAUAACCUACCUAUAAGACUGGGAUAACUUCGGGAAACCGGAGCUAAUACCAGAUAAUAUAUUGAACCGCAUGGUUCAAUAGUGAAAGACGGUUUUGCUGUCACUUAUAGAUGGAUCCGCGCCGCAUUAGCUAGUUGGUAAGGUAACGGCUUACCAAGGCAACGAUGCGUAGCCGACCUGAGAGGGUGAUCGGCCACACUGGAACUGAGACACGGUCCAGACUCCUACGGGAGGCAGCAGUAGGGAAUCUUCCGCAAUGGGCGAAAGCCUGACGGAGCAACGCCGCGUGAGUGAUGAAGGUCUUCGGAUCGUAAAACUCUGUUAUUAGGGAAGAACAAAUGUGUAAGUAACUAUGCACGUCUUGACGGUACCUAAUCAGAAAGCCACGGCUAACUACGUG